Molecule: ribosomal RNA, 871 nt
Filed under: Enterobacter sp. DWSR59
Lineage: Bacteria; Pseudomonadati; Pseudomonadota; Gammaproteobacteria; Enterobacterales; Enterobacteriaceae
Description: partial 16S ribosomal RNA
Rfam family: Bacterial small subunit ribosomal RNA
Source: RNAcentral
GUGCUUGGUCCUGGUUGACGAGCGGCGGAGGGGUGAGUAUAGUGUGGGAAACUGCCCGAGGGGGGGGGAGAACUCCGGGAAACGGGAUCUAAAACCGCAUAACGUCCCACAACCAAAAAGGGGGACCUUCUGGCCUCUUGUCAUCUCAUGUGCCCCGAUGGGAUUAGCUCGUAUGGGGGGGAACGGCUCACCUAGGCGACAAUCCCUCUCUGGGCUGAGAGAAUGACCCCCCACACUGGAACUGAGACACGGUCCCCACUCCUACGGGAGGGACCAGUGGGGAAUAUUGCGCAAUGGGCGCAAACCUGAUACACCCAUGCCCCGUGUGUAAAAAAAGCCUUCUGGUUUUAAAGUAUUUUUUCCGGGGAGAAAGGGGUUUUGUUUAAUAACCCCACCGAUUGAGGUUACCCCCAGAAAAAACACCGGCUAUCUCCGUGCCCCCACCCCCGGUAAUAUGGAGGGUGCGAGCGUUAUUCUCAAUUUCUGGGCGUAUAGCGCACUCACGCGGUCUGUCACGUCUGAUGUGAAAUCCCCGGGCUCAACCUGGGAACUCCGUUCUAAACUGGGGAGCUAUAGUCUUGUGUAGAGGGGUAGAAUUCUCCGUGUAUCGGUGAAAUGCGUAUAGAUCUGGAGAAAUACCGGUGGCGAAAGCGGCCCCCUGUACACAAACUGUCACUCUCGUGCGAAAGCGCGUGGAGAGCACAGGAUUAUAUACCCUGAUAUACCACGCCCUACACGCUGUCUCCUCGUAGGUUGUGCGCUUGAGGAGGUGGCUUCCCGCAUCUCACACGCUUAUGUCUACAGCCUGAGGAGUACAGCCGUCACGACUGUAUACUCUAAUGCAUAUACGAGGGGACCGCACGAGACGCGG